Molecule: ribosomal RNA, 247 nt
Filed under: uncultured bacterium
Lineage: Bacteria
Description: partial 16S ribosomal RNA
Rfam family: Bacterial small subunit ribosomal RNA
Source: RNAcentral
AUACGGAGGAUCCGAGCGUUAUCCGGAUUUAUUGGGUUUAAAGGGUGCGCAGGCGGGAGAUUAAGUCGGCGGUGAAAUUUUGCAGCUCAACUGUAAAAGUGCCGUUGAAACUGUCGGACUUGAGUGUAAAUGAGGUAGGCGGAAUGCGUGGUGUAGCGGUGAAAUGCAUAGAUAUCACAAGGAACUCCGAUUGCGAAGGCAGCUCACUAAGCUAUAACUGACGCUGAUGCACGAAAGCGUGGGUAUC